GUGCUUGCUUCGGCAGCACAUAUACUAAAAUUGAAACGAUACAGAGAAGAUUAGCAUGGCCUCUGUGCAAGGAUGACAUGCAAAUUCAUGAAUCGUUCCAUAUUUUU
Dipodomys ordii (Ord's kangaroo rat) is the source of this 107-nucleotide small nuclear RNA. The record is from Ensembl. NCBI's taxonomy places the organism in Eukaryota, Metazoa, Chordata, Mammalia, Rodentia, Heteromyidae.